GGGCAGAACCUGAUAUGUAAGUAAGUUGAGCAAACAAAGUGUCUUUCGAUGACCGAAUGAUCAUUCCAGACACUGCUUCUGUUGAGAGAGAAAUUAAAGGCUGGUUGAAUGAGUUCCCUAUGAGAGGCUACUUCAUCUACAAGAAAACAGGCGGCCGCACCAGUUUCCUCAUAUGAAAUUAAAAGGGUCAGUGCUCUAAAAUGAGUCUCUCUGGGGAGAGAGAGGAGGUGGGCCCUGCCUCUAAAAUGAGUCUCUCUGGGGAGAGAGGGGAGGUGGGCCCUGCCUCUAAAAUGAGUCUCUCUGGGGAGAGAGAGGAGGUUGGCCUUGCCUCUAAAAUGAGACUCUCUGGGGAACAUGACACCACAGCUAAAAGUCCAAUCAAGCAGGAGAGACCAGCCUCCACUGUGCCCAGCGGUGUGUCCAUGAAGAGUGACCGGUCUAUGGGUAUACCUAUAAUGUUUAGAGAGG
This is a non-coding RNA of Salmo salar (Atlantic salmon), 468 nucleotides long. NCBI's taxonomy places the organism in Eukaryota, Metazoa, Chordata, Actinopteri, Salmoniformes, Salmonidae. The record is from RefSeq and is a predicted model, not a curated record.